UUCAUACUGCGUCUAAUGGACUCGAUCCCAUCUGAACUCCGAAGUUAAGCGGAGCACGGCCCUCCUAAUACUGCGGUUGGGACUCCACGGGAAUCCCUUUGGGUGAUGACGGC
RNAcentral lists this ribosomal RNA (113 nucleotides) under Eimeria vermiformis. Lineage: Eukaryota; Apicomplexa; Conoidasida; Eucoccidiorida; Eimeriidae. The record is from RNAcentral.